Molecule: ribosomal RNA, 252 nt
Filed under: uncultured bacterium
Lineage: Bacteria
Description: partial 16S ribosomal RNA
Rfam family: Bacterial small subunit ribosomal RNA
Source: RNAcentral
UACGUAGGUCCCGAGCGUUGUCCGGAUUUAUUGGGCGUAGAGCGAGCGCAGGUGGCUUAUUAAGUCUGGUGUAAAAGGCAGUGGCUCAACCAUUGUAUGCAUUGGAAACUGGUAGACUUGAGUGCAGGAGAGGAGAGUGGAAUUCCAUGUGUAGCGGUGAAAUGCGUAGAUAUAUGGAGGAACACCGGUGGCGAAAGCGGCUCUCUGGCCUGUAACUGACACUGAGGCUCGAAAGCGUGGGGAGCAAACAGG